GCUUCAUAGAGCAGCAGCACAUAGGUUAAAAUUGGAACGAUACAGAGAAGAGUGCCAUGUCCCCUGCACAAUAUACACCAUUAUUGCAGCAGCACAAUGAUUCU
This 104-nucleotide small nuclear RNA is filed under the name Peromyscus maniculatus bairdii (prairie deer mouse). The record is from RNAcentral. Lineage: Eukaryota; Metazoa; Chordata; Mammalia; Rodentia; Cricetidae.